CGUGUAGGCGGUAUUGUAAGUCAGAUGUAGAAGGCUACGGCUUAACCGUAGAUUGUCAUUUGAAACUACAGUACUUGAGUGCGAGAGAGGGUAGUGGAAUUCCCAGUGUAGCGGUGAAAUGCGUAGAUAUUGGGAAGAACACCAGUAGCGAAGGCGGCUACCUGGCUCGUAACUGACGCUAAUGCGCGAAAGCGUGGGGAGCGAACA
RNAcentral lists this ribosomal RNA (207 nucleotides) under uncultured bacterium. RNAcentral's name for it is "partial 16S ribosomal RNA". It matches the Rfam family "Bacterial small subunit ribosomal RNA", at positions 568 to 774 of the family's 1533-position model. The record is from RNAcentral.